GUAGCUCAGACUAGUCUCCAACUUAGUAGGCAGCUGAAGGUGGCCUUGUACUCUUCUACAGAUACCUGGCUCUGGCACAGGCUGAGAGGCUCAUCAUGGCUCCUGCAGCAAUGCUGCCAUCGACCGAGUGCCCCCAUGCCUCUUGGAUUCAGUGUCACCAAGGAAAUUGCUGAUCUGCCAAAGAACUCUCCGAGCAAAGCUGUGAAGUGGAGAAAGGGUAACAAAAGGCCGUGGAGAAGGACACUGAAAGGUCAUCCAGAAGACCUGGAUCCCGAAAUGCAAACAUCGGCGGUCUCCUUAAAUCCACGCAUCCAGGAAGGUGUUCAUAACCUCUUCUCAAGUGGCCAGAGCCAGGAUCAUACAGCAUAAGGAUGAAGCUGCCCUCUGAGCAUGCCCAUAUACUUUUCUUU
Molecule: long non-coding RNA, 410 nt
Filed under: Cricetulus griseus (Chinese hamster)
Lineage: Eukaryota; Metazoa; Chordata; Mammalia; Rodentia; Cricetidae
Description: lncRNA (ENSCGRG00000024540.1)
Source: RNAcentral